This 440-nucleotide ribosomal RNA is filed under the name uncultured bacterium. RNAcentral's name for it is "bacterial SSU rRNA". It matches the Rfam family "Bacterial small subunit ribosomal RNA", at positions 96 to 571 of the family's 1533-position model. The record is from RNAcentral.
UGGCGAACGGGUUAGUAACGCGUGGGAACAUACACAGCACAGGGGGAUAACCAUUGGAAACGAUGGCUAAUACCGCAUACGCCCUAUUGGGGAAAGAUUUAUCGGUGUUGGAUUGGCCCGCGUUAGAUCAGCUAGUUGGUGGGGUAAUGGCUCACCAAGGCGACGAUUUAUAGCUGGUUUGAGAGGAUGAUCAGCAACACUGGAACUGAGACACGGUCCAGACUCCUACGGGAGGCAGCAGUCGGGAAUAUUGUGCAAUGGGGGCAACCCUGACACAGCCAUGCCGCGUGAGUGAAGAAGGCCUUAGGGUUGUAAAGCUCUUUCAGAUGUGAGGAUGAUGACGAUAGCAUCAGAAGAAGCUCCGGCUAACUUCGUGCCAGCAGCCGCGGUAAUACGAAGGGAGCUAGCGUNGUUCGGAAUUACUGGGCGUAAAGGGCGUG